GGCAAAGGUUCUUCACCCAGAGGGUGGCUGGGCACUGGAACAGGCUCCCCAGGGAAGUGGUCACAGCACCAAACCUGACAGAUUUCAAGAAGUGUUUAAACAAUAUUCUCAGUCAUAUCUUGUCAUUCUUGGAGUGUCCUGUGCAGGGCCCAAAGAUGGACUUGGUGAUCCUGUGGGUCCCUUCCAGCCCAGGUGAUUCUGUGAUCCAGCAUAGGAAAAAACCUGCAAUUUCUAAGUGCAAGAAAGCUGUAAUUAUAUGUAUGGAAUUGCAUGUAUUCAAGUGGCUGUUUUAGUAAAUAGUGAAAACCUCAACAUAAAGUGUGGCAGUGGUCCAGAAAGGUAUUCUACUAACAGUUAAAGAAAAGCCCCAGUGGAAAGAUGAAUGCAGCAUCACUCAUUGGACAGAGUAACAAGGUAUCACAAGAUUCACAUUUCAACUUGUCUAAACAAAAAAGGGCCCAAAAGUUCAGUAUGUCUGAAUCCCUUGUGCACUAAAUACUUCCUGUGGAUUCUGAAAUCUCUACAUAUUUUCGAGUUGUGGAUCUUCACUUUUGAAUUCAUAAAUCCAAUAUUCAUCAGUACCCAGAAAGAAAGUUUUUGCCUUCCCCUAUCAAACAACAGCUAG
RNAcentral lists this long non-coding RNA (625 nucleotides) under Cyanistes caeruleus (blue tit). RNAcentral's name for it is "lncRNA (ENSCCEG00000010484.1)". The record is from RNAcentral. Lineage: Eukaryota; Metazoa; Chordata; Aves; Passeriformes; Paridae.